Molecule: ribosomal RNA, 761 nt
Filed under: uncultured Chelatococcus sp.
Lineage: Bacteria; Pseudomonadati; Pseudomonadota; Alphaproteobacteria; Hyphomicrobiales; Chelatococcaceae
Description: bacterial SSU rRNA
Rfam family: Bacterial small subunit ribosomal RNA
Source: RNAcentral
GCAAGUCGAACGGGCCCUUCGGGGUCAGUGGCAGUCGGGUGAGUAACGCGUGGGAACGUGCCCUUCAGUUCGGAAUAACCCAGGCAAACUUGGGCUAAUACCGGAUACGUGCGAGAGCAGAAAGAUUUAUCGCUGAAGGAUCGGCCCGCGUCUGAUUAGCUAGUUGGUAGGGUAAUGGCCUACCAAGGCGACGAUCAGUAGCUGGUCUGAGAGGAUGAUCAGCCACAUUGGGACUGAGACACGGCCCAAACUCCUACGGGAGGCAGCAGUGGGGAAUAUUGGACAAUGGGCGCAAGCCUGAUCCAGCCAUGCCGCGUGAGUGAUGAAGGCCUUAGGGUUGUAAAGCUCUUUCGUCCGGGACGAUAAUGACGGUACCGGAAGAAGAAGCCCCGGCUAACUUCGUGCCAGCAGCCGCGGUAAUACGAAGGGGGCUAGCGUUGUUCGGAAUCACUGGGCGUAAAGGGCGCGUAGGCGGCUUUGUAAGUCGGGGGUGAAAGCCUGUGGCUCAACCACAGAAUUGCCUUCGAUACUGCAUGGCUUGAGACCGGAAGAGGUAAGUGGAACUGCGAGUGUAGAGGUGAAAUUCGUAGAUAUUCGCAAGAACACCAGUGGCGAAGGCGGCUUACUGGUCCGGUUCUGACGCUGAGGCGCGAAAGCGUGGGGAGCAAACAGGAUUAGAUAUCCUGGUAGUCCACGCCGUAAACGAUGAAUGCCAGCCGUUGGCGAGCUUGCUCGUCAGUGGCGCAGCUAACGCUUUAAGC